AUUGAACGCUGGCGGCAGGCCUAACACAUGCAAGUCGAACGGUAACAGGAAGAAGCUUGCUUCUUUGCUGACGAGUGGCGGAUGGGUGAGUAAUGUCUGGGAAACUGCCUGAUGGAGGGGGAUAACUACUGGAAACGGUAGCUAAUACCGCAUAACGUCGCAAGACCAAAGAGGGGGACCUUCGGGCCUCUUGCCAUCGGAUGUGCCCAGAUGGGAUUAGCUAGUAGGUGGGGUAACGGCUCACCUAGGCGACGAUCCCUAGCUGGUCUGAGAGGAUGACCAGCCACACUGGAACUGAGACACGGUCCAGGCUCCUACGGGAGGCAGCAGUGGGGAAUAUUGCACAAAGGGCGCAAGCCUGAUGCAGCCAUGCCGCGUGUAUGAAGAAGGCCUUCGGGUUGUAAAGUACUUUCAGCGGGGAGGAAGGGAGUAAAGUUAAUACCUUUACUCAUUGACGUUACCCGCAGAAGAAGCACCGGCUAACUCCGUG
Molecule: ribosomal RNA, 490 nt
Filed under: uncultured bacterium
Lineage: Bacteria
Description: partial 16S ribosomal RNA
Rfam family: Bacterial small subunit ribosomal RNA
Source: RNAcentral